RNAcentral lists this ribosomal RNA (498 nucleotides) under uncultured bacterium. Its description in RNAcentral is "partial 16S ribosomal RNA". It matches the Rfam family "Bacterial small subunit ribosomal RNA", at positions 28 to 507 of the family's 1533-position model. The record is from RNAcentral.
GACGAACGCUGGCGGCGUGCCUAAUACAUGCAAGUCGAACGAGAGCGACCGGUGCUUGCACUGGUCAAUCUAGUGGCGAACGGGUGAGUAACACGUGGGUAACCUGCCCAUCAGAGGGGGAUAACAUCCGGAAACGGAUGCUAAAACCGCAUAGGUCUUCGAGCCGCAUGGCUUGAAGAGGAAAAGAGGCGCAAGCUUCUGCUGAUGGAUGGACCCGCGGUGCAUUAGCUAGUUGGUGAGGUAACGGCUCACCAAGGCCGCGAUGCAGAGCCGACCUGAGAGGGUGAUCGGCCACAUUGGGACUGAGACACGGCCCAAACUCCUACGGGAGGCAGCAGUAGGAAAUCUUCCGCAAUGGACGCAAGUCUGACGGAGCAACGCCGCGCGAGUGAAGAAGGUUUUCGGAUCGUAAAACUCUGUUGUUAGAGAAGAACAAGUGCUAGAGUAACUGUUAGCGCCUUGACGGUAUCUAACCAGAAAGCCACGGCUAACUACGUG